This 87-nucleotide transfer RNA is filed under the name Desulfurellaceae bacterium. Its description in RNAcentral is "tRNA-Ser". It matches the Rfam family "tRNA". From Rfam's summary of the family: Transfer RNA (tRNA) molecules are approximately 80 nucleotides in length. Their secondary structure includes four short double-helical elements and three loops (D, anti-codon, and T loops). Lineage: Bacteria; Pseudomonadati; Campylobacterota; Desulfurellia; Desulfurellales; Desulfurellaceae. The record is from RNAcentral. RNAcentral also lists the same sequence under 1 other name.
GGAGAGGUGGCCGAGUGGUCUAUGGCGCUCGCCUGCUAAGCGAGUGUACGUUAGCGCGUACCGCGGGUUCGAAUCCCGCCCUCUCCG